UGCUGAUGCUUGCCACACAAAAAAAAAGUGGUUAUCAACUGGCUGCAAACCCUGUGUGCUUUAUUGGCUUACCUUAAUUUGUUCGUUUGGACAUCAGUAAAAUCAGUAAAACAAAACAUACUUUAUGCCUAAUUUAGAAGGAAAGCCUAUACUAGUCUUCUGGUCAACUUUUCAAACUGACUUCGAAAAAAGUAUUGGCCAAGACUCUAGUAUAAAAAAAAAGAAGAAAGAAAAACUGGUAAUCUUAAGAGUCACAUUCAGGAACAUUGUCAUUCAUUAUUUUCCCAUGUUCAACAACACAAUAAAUCCGUGGAGAGGUGGGGCAUGUUUUGUCUUGGCCACGCGCUGAGGGAUUAGCUAUUUAAAGACACGGGGUAGGCAGUGGAAAAUUCCUGUUGCCAGUCGGACUCAACAGGAAGACAGGGCGUAGUUAGAGCAUCAUCUGUCAAGGAGCGAAGAUUUGCGAUAGCAUCGUGUCACAAUCUGACAUAAACGGUUUCUGCAAGACAUUGAUCGGGCUUCACACGUUGACUUAUUUACCUACUCGACCAUUUGACCAUAGUUUUGCCAUUUUUGGGAUCUCAGACUCUUACAGACUGGCGCCUAUAUCUACAGGUCCCAUGGGCGUGAAGGUCCUCCAGUGUUUUCCGUGGUACAGGCGUUGUAAAGGCCGUGGCAAGGGGAGACACUGCCCUCCUAAGGCGGUGCCGUCCAGCGAGGGGGAACCUCACUUCUCUCCUGCCAUGUCCUGGUCCGCCGACGCAGCAGGAGGAGGAGGAGGAGGGGGAGGGUGUUAUUUCUCCCACAAGGCCAGGGUUGCCUACAGACACCAGCUGGAGGGCAACGUUAUAGACUCGACAUACUAACGCCCCCAGCUUCACCACCCAGGCCCCCACGAAACCUCCCACCACCCUCUUUCACCUAGCCAGCGGAACGGGAGGUCAGCACUGAGUCAACCAGGGAUGUAGUGGGUGGUGCUCGUGGACCACACACUGAGAGAGGAUGGAGAAUGAAGCCUGGUUAGAUGCCCCUGUCCUAAUGGAUGAACUGUGUGUGCGUGUGCAUGUGUGUGUGUGUGUGUGUGUGUGUGUGUGAGGAGCAUCACAGACAGAUGACAGAAAAACACUUCUGUUUUCUCUGAUGUGGUAUAAUACUAGUAGUAGUAAGACUGAAGCUUUGUUUACGCCAUGAAGUGCAUUGUAAAUGCUUCUCUGUUAUUCUUGACUUAAUUUAUUCAUAUUGUUUGCGGGUGUGUCUGCCUCUGCUCCUUAGUGUGUGUGUGUGCCUCUGCUCCUUAGUGUGUGUGUGUGUGUGUGUGUGUGUGUGUGUGUGUGUGUGUGUGUGUGUGUGUGUGUGUGUGUGUGUGUGUGUGUGUGGGUGUGUGUGUGUGGGUGUGUGUGUGUAUAAGAGUAGUGUAUCUAACACCAGUUUUGUAGUCGUCUGUAAUAUGUUGUCCAGAGGAUACAUGGUGGCCAGUGCACAGUGCAGUGUCUAAAAACAAUGUUUCUAAUAUACAUAUUGUCCUGCCCAAUCAUCUGUAAUAUUUGCACAACAACUUAUUUCUAUUAAUAUUGCAUACAAGGAUGAAAAUGACAAUAAGUGCAUCAGUUGGAUAUUUACUAUUUCAAUGAAAUAAUAAUUAAGUGAAAAACCUUACAUGACUAAUUUUGUCAUAUGAAUGCAAAAAAAGAAAAA
Hypomesus transpacificus is the source of this 1695-nucleotide long non-coding RNA. RefSeq lists it as uncharacterized. The record is from RefSeq and is a predicted model, not a curated record. NCBI's taxonomy places the organism in Eukaryota, Metazoa, Chordata, Actinopteri, Osmeriformes, Osmeridae. The transcript has 3 exons.